UUAGAUACCCUAUUAUAAGAAUGUAAAUUUAUAAAUUGAUUAUUAAUAGUUAUGUUCUUUAAAGUCAAAAAUUUUGGCGGUAUUUUAGUCUUUUCAGAGGAAUCUGCUCUAUAAUUGAUAUUCCACGAUAAAAUAUACUUAAAUUAGAAAUUUACAUAUCGUCGUUAAAAAUAUUUUAAAAGAAAUAAUAUUUAAAAUUUAAUUUUUAAAAUGAGUCAGAUCAAGGUGUAGUUUAUAUUUAAGGAGAAGUGGAUUACAAUAAUUAAAAUUUUGGAUUUUAAAUUUUAAAUUUAAAUGAAAUUGGAUUUGAAAGUAAUUAAAAAUAU
Molecule: ribosomal RNA, 326 nt
Filed under: Rhyzobius lophanthae
Lineage: Eukaryota; Metazoa; Arthropoda; Insecta; Coleoptera; Coccinellidae
Description: partial 12S ribosomal RNA
Source: RNAcentral